UACGUAGGUGGCAAGCGUUGUCCGGAAUUAUUGGGCGUAAAGCGCGCGCAGGCGGUAAGUUAAGUCUGAUGUGAAAGCCCCGGGCUCAACCUGGGAAUGGCAUUGGAAACUGGCUUGCUGGAGUGUGGCAGAGGGGGGUGGAAUUCCGCGUGUAGCAGUGAAAUGCGUAGAGAUGCGGAGGAACACCGAUGGCGAAGGCAGCCCCCUGGGCCAACACUGACGCUCAGGCACGAAAGCGUGGGGAGCAAACAGG
RNAcentral lists this ribosomal RNA (253 nucleotides) under uncultured bacterium. Its description in RNAcentral is "partial 16S ribosomal RNA". It matches the Rfam family "Bacterial small subunit ribosomal RNA", at positions 524 to 776 of the family's 1533-position model. The record is from RNAcentral.